Homo sapiens (human) is the source of this 164-nucleotide small nuclear RNA. The record is from Ensembl. NCBI's taxonomy places the organism in Eukaryota, Metazoa, Chordata, Mammalia, Primates, Hominidae.
AUUCUUACCUGGCAGGGGAGAUAACAUGAUCACGAAGGUGGUUUUCCCAGGGCGAGGUUUAUCCAUUGCACUCUGGGUGUGCUGACCCCUGUGAUUUCCCCAAAAGUGCGAAACUCGACUGCAUGAUUUGUGGUAGUGGGGGACUGCAUUCAUGCUUUCCCCUA